AAGGAUCAGGGGGAGGGCACAGACUGGCCCGUCCUAUUCCUAGAGGCAGCUCACCGAAGCCAGACGUGUCUCUGGAAUGUCCAGCAACAAUUUGUGUCCGCAUGGAUUGUUGCUGGACAUUUCUUAAUAAAUACCCAAAAAAUUAACCCACAUGCCGCACUAUAAUUUAAAGUUGAGUUUGUGUGUUUAUUUCAAGUAACAAUAAACUCGAGGUGUGAGUGGUGGUGCAACCAUCUGCAGGGGUGGGUCGAGUUAGCUGAAUGUGGUGACGCAGGUUACGAUCAACGUUAACAGUACUCAGCAUUCUUCAAGAAUUCAUGAACGCGAUGUGAUGACACCUGCAAAGAGAUCAAUCUAGCAGCAAAGCGCAAGUGAUCCCAGUAGACCAGUGCAAAAAUACUCGUCCUCGAGUAAUCAACGCGUUCUACUAGGAAACGAUCGGAACGCCUACUGCCGAUUUAUUGUUUAGAAUCGGUUCAAAAUACUUCUGAUAUUACGGAUUUCUUUAUAUUAUAAUGAUUCUUCAUGAAUUAAUGUAUUUGAGGAAAUCUUGUAUAGUUCAUAUUGUUAUUAUGUUAGACAUAAUUUGAACUUUAUUGUUUCGUUCAUUUUAUAUUUUAAUUUGUGCCGCGUCAACACUAUUGGCGUCGUGUACUCUUGUCAUAGUUAUUUUAUUCCCCGGACUGCAGGAACAUUCCGAUGGUAACACUAGUUCUGGGAGUUGGCCUUUAGGAAUGAGACACUAAUGAAUGCAAAUUAAGUCACAUUUUAAUUAUUGUGUAUCGGUGUUUAGUGUUCGAUGUAUCGUGUUACUGUAGGGAUUUAUUGUAAUUAGAUAUAUCAAUAUGUACUCACGCUGUCUGUCGUGAACUAGCAUUGUGGGGUGUUGGUCGGUACUACAACUUUAUUUACAAUUAAUACUAUUGCUGAAUUGAGAUUCAAAGCAUUACACACAUACUUACAAUCUUAGGAAUAGGGGGAAUAAAAUACAGAGGAUUAAAUAUCUUAUAGCCUGUCGUCUGGUUAAUAUUAACUUAUGAGGUAUCAUAAUCAUUUUAUUAACAUAUUAACCUUUUGAACUUCUCGAUGUUUGUGUAUUAGUAUUUAAUCAUGUAUUCACACGCCACUCUCAAUUACAGAUCAAAAUAUAAGAUUACAUAGGAAUUUUAGCACGGUGUUUAAUGGAUUAAAAUAGUAGAAGCGGAA
This is a long non-coding RNA of Manduca sexta (tobacco hornworm), 1206 nucleotides long. RefSeq lists it as uncharacterized. NCBI's taxonomy places the organism in Eukaryota, Metazoa, Arthropoda, Insecta, Lepidoptera, Sphingidae. The record is from RefSeq and is a predicted model, not a curated record. The transcript has 2 exons.